AAAUUGGUGAGAGGCGAUAUACUAUUCACCCAGGACCGCUAGCCAUGAUUCGAAUACACUCGGUACCGAAUCCUUAAGAAUAAGACUGCUAAGCUGAUAAGAAAAAAGAAGCAUUCUUCUUUUAAAGACUAGCAAUAGUUGCUUAGGAGGAGCUGCGUCACAUAGUAGUGUGGGUAAAGCUACCAAGACUAUGAUGUGUAGCGGGCUGAGAGUGACGGCCACAUUGGGACUGAGACACGGCCCAAACUCUACGGGAGGCAGCAGUAGGGAAUUUUCGGCAAUGGAGGAAACUCUGACCGAGCGACGCCGCGUGAACGAUGAAGUAUUUCGGUAUGUAAAGUUCUUUUAUUGAAGAAGAAAAAAUAGUGGAAAAACUAUCUUGACGUUAUUCAAUGAAUAAGCCCCGGCUAACUAUGUGCCAGCAGCCGCGGUAAGACAUAGGGGGCGAGCGUUAUCCGGAAUUAUUGGGCGUAAAGGGUGCGUAGGCGGUUAGAUAAGUCUAUAAUUUAAUUUCAGUGCUUAACGCUGUCUUGUUAUAGAAACUGUCUUGACUAGAGUGAGAUAGAGGCAAGCGGAAUUCCAUGUGUAGCGGUAAAAUGUGUAAAUAUAUGGAGGAACACCAGAAGCGUAGGCGGCUUGCUGGGUCUUUACUGACGCUGAGGCACGAAAGCGUGGGGAGCAAACAGGAUUAGAUACCCUGGUAGUCCACGCUGUAAACGAUGAGUACUAAGUGUCGGGGCAACUCGGUACUGAAGUUAACACAUUAAGUACUCCGCCUGAGUAGUACGUACGCAAGUAUGAAACUUAAAGGAAUUGACGGGACUCCGCACAAGCGGUGGAUCAUGUUGUUUAAUUCGAAGAUACACGAAAAACCUUACCGGGUCUUGACAUACUCUGCGAAGCUAUAGAAAUAUAGUGGAGGUUAUCAGGGAUACAGGUGGUGCAUGGUUGUCGUCAGUUCGUGUCGUGAGAUGUUAGGUUAAGUCCUAAAACGAACGCAACCCCUGUCGUUAGUUACCAGCACGUAAUGGUGGGGACUUUAGCGAGACUGCCAAUUAAACAUUGGAGGAAGGUGGGGAUAACGUCAAAUCAUCAUGCCCCUUAUGAUCUGGGCUACAAACGUGAUACAAUGGCUGUUACAAAGAGUAGCUGAAACGCGAGUUUUUAGCCAAUCUCAAAAAGACAGUCUUAGUCCGGAUUGAAAUCUGCAACUCGACUUCAUGAAGCUGGAAUCGCUAGUAAUCGCGAAUCAGCAUGUCGCGGUGAAUACGUUCUCGGGGUUUGUACACACCGCCCGUCA
RNAcentral lists this ribosomal RNA (1300 nucleotides) under 'Vitex negundo' stunt phytoplasma. RNAcentral's name for it is "bacterial SSU rRNA". It matches the Rfam family "Bacterial small subunit ribosomal RNA", at positions 100 to 1399 of the family's 1533-position model. Lineage: Bacteria; Bacillati; Mycoplasmatota; Mollicutes; Acholeplasmatales; Acholeplasmataceae. The record is from RNAcentral.